CCUACGGGAGGCUGCAGUGGGGAAUAUUGCACAAUGGGCGCAAGCCUGAUGCAGCCAUGCCGCGUGUGUGAAGAAGGCCUUCGGGUUGUAAAGCACUUUCAGCGGGGAGGAAGGCGUUAAGGUUAAUAACCUUGUCGAUUGACGUUACCCGCAGAAGAAGCACCGGCUAACUCCGUGCCAGCAGCCGCGGUAAUACGGAGGGUGCAAGCGUUAAUCGGAAUUACUGGGCGUAAAGCGCACGCAGGCGGUCUGUCAAGUCGGAUGUGAAAUCCCCGGGCUCAACCUGGGAACUGCAUUCGAAACUGGCAGGCUAGAGUCUUGUAGAGGGGGGUAGAAUUCCAGGUGUAGCGGUGAAAUGCGUAGAGAUCUGGAGGAGUACCGGUGGCGAAGGCGGCCCCCUGGACAAAGACUGACGCUCAGGUGCGAAAGCGUGGGGAGCAAACAGGAUUAGAUACCCCGGUAGUC
This 465-nucleotide ribosomal RNA is filed under the name uncultured Klebsiella sp. Its description in RNAcentral is "bacterial SSU rRNA". It matches the Rfam family "Bacterial small subunit ribosomal RNA", at positions 338 to 795 of the family's 1533-position model. The record is from RNAcentral. Lineage: Bacteria; Pseudomonadati; Pseudomonadota; Gammaproteobacteria; Enterobacterales; Enterobacteriaceae.